CUAGCCCCUGACCAGAGUCGAGAGAAGGCUUAUGUUCCAGAGUUUAGCCCAGAGAGGGCUGCUGUUCCCACGUCUAGCCCAGAGAGGGCUGCUGUUCCCACGUCUAGCCCAGAGAGGGCUGCUGUUCCCACGUCAAGCCCAGAGAGGGCCUUAGCUCCUGAGUUUAGCUCAGAGAAGGCUCCUGCUCCCGAGUUUAGCUCAGAGAAGGCUCCUGCUCCCAAGUCUAACCCAGAGAGGGCGACUGAUGGCGAGUCAAGCCCCGAGAGGGCUCCUGUCUGCAAUUCUAGCCCAGGGAGGGCUCCUGUUCCCACGUCAAGCUCAGAGAGGGCCAUGUAUACACACACUCCAUAAAGCCCCUAUUUUACAAAUAAUAAUAAUGCAGUCAGGAGAUGGUGUGAUGCAAUUAGUGGUUUCCACAUUUUUCCACCUGUACACUAAAUAAUCUAACCCUCAUACUUGCAUAACAAUAGCAGUCUAUUUAUUUAGUGGUCCAAGUUGAAGUCAGUAUGUAUAUUAAUGACAAUAUGGGACAAAUACACUCAAUAAAGGAUUAUUAGGAACACCUGUUCAAUUUCUCAUUAAUGCAAUUAUCUAAUCAAUCACAUGGCAGUUGCUUCAAUGCAUUUAGGGGUGUGCAUUUAGGGGUGUGGUCCUGGUCAAGACAAUCUCCUGAACUCCAAACUGAAUGUCAGAAUGGGAAAGAAAGGUUUAAGCAAUUUUGAGUGUGGCAUGGUUGUUGGUGCCAGACGGGCCGUUCUGAGUAUUUCACAAUCUGCUCAGUUACUGGGAUUUUCAUGCACAACCAUUUCUAGGGUUUACAAAGAAUGGUGUGAAAAGGAAAAACAUCCAGUAUGCGGCAGUCCUGUGGGCGAAAAUGCCUUGUUGAUGCUAGAGGUCAGAGGAGAAUGGGCUGACUGAUUCAAGCUGAUAGAAGAGCAACUUUGACUGAAAUAACCACUUGUUACAACCGAGAUAUGCAGCAAAGCAUUUGUGAAGCCACAACACGCACAACCUUGAGGCGGAUGGGCUACAACAGCAGAAGACCC
This is a long non-coding RNA of Cyprinus carpio carpio, 1046 nucleotides long. NCBI's taxonomy places the organism in Eukaryota, Metazoa, Chordata, Actinopteri, Cypriniformes, Cyprinidae. The record is from Ensembl.